This 400-nucleotide unclassified non-coding RNA is filed under the name uncultured fungus. Its description in RNAcentral is "sequence contains ITS1". The stretch from base 1 to 105 matches the Rfam family "5.8S ribosomal RNA", at positions 50 to 154 of the family's 154-position model. Lineage: Eukaryota; Fungi. The record is from RNAcentral.
AAAAUGCGAUAACUAGUGUGAAUUGCAGAAUUCUGUGAAUCAUCGAACUCUUGAACGCAUACUGCGCCUUGAGGCUAUCCUCGAGGCACACCUGUUUGAGUGUUGACAAAAUUCUCUAUCCAAUUAAGGGGGUUAUACUUUACGUAUCCCCCUUCUUUUGGGAUUAUGAUGGUGUAGAAGAGCCUAGUCUUUUCAACUCCAUUUAAAUUUAUCGGAAGAGGUUUUUCUUUUAGAAAAAGGACUCUAUAUCUUUGGUUUGAGGAAUCUUAGUAUUCCACUUCUUCCUUAGAUAUUCCGUCCGCUUUUUUUUCUCGAAAGAAUUAUCCCUCUUUUUUCAAAAGGAACAAAAUCAAACUAUAACCAUUCAACCUCAAAUCAGGUGGGAUUACCCCCUGAAUUU